AGAUUGAACGCUAGCGGGAUGCUUUACACAUGCAAGUCGAACGGCAGCGCGGACUUCGGUCUGGCGGCGAGUGGCGAACGGGUGAGUAAUAUAUCGGAACGUGCCCAGUAGCGGGGGAUAACUACGCGAAAGCGUGGCUAAUACCGCAUACGCCCUACGGGAGAAAGGGGGGGAUUCUUUCGAGAACCUCUCACUAUUGGAGCGGCCGAUAUCAGAUUAGCUAGUUGGUGAGGUAAAGGCUCACCAAGGCGACGAUCUGUAGCUGGUUUGAGAGGAUCGAUCCAGUCACGACUUGGAACUGACGACACGGUCCAGA
This 316-nucleotide ribosomal RNA is filed under the name uncultured soil bacterium. RNAcentral describes it as "bacterial SSU rRNA". It matches the Rfam family "Bacterial small subunit ribosomal RNA", at positions 26 to 335 of the family's 1533-position model. The record is from RNAcentral.